AGAGUUUGAUCAUGGCUCAGGACGAACGCUGGCGGCGUGCCUAACACAUGCAAGUCGAACGGAGAUAAAGAUUUCGGUUUUUAUCCUAGUGGCGCACGGGUGAGUAACACGUGAAUAACCUGACCCAAAGAGGGGGAUAACACCUGGAAACAGGUGCUAAUACCGCAUAAGACCACAAUGUCGCAUGACGAAGGGGUCAAAGAAAAUCGCUUUGGGAGGGGUUCGCGUCCCAUUAGGUAGUAGGCGGGGUAACGGCCCACCUAGCCGACGAUGGGUAGCCGAGCUGAGAGGCUGAUCGGCCACACUGGAACUGAGACACGGUCCAGACUCCUACGGGAGGCAGCAGUGGGGAAUAUUGGGCAAUGGGCGCAAGCCUGACCCAGCAACGCCGCGUGAGGGAAGAAGGUUUUCGGAUUAUAAACCUCUGUCGCAGAAGACGAAGGAAGUGACGGUAUUCUGUGAGGAAGCCCCGGCUAACUACGUGCCAGCAGCCGCGGUAAUACGUAGGGGGCGAGCGUUGUCCGGAAUUACUGGGCGUAAAGGGAGCGCAGGCGGUCUGAUAAGUUGGAUGUGAAAUACCCGGGCUUAACUUGGGGGGUGCAUCCAAUACUGUUGGACUAGAGUACAGGAGAGGCAAUCGGAAUUCCUUGUGUAGCGGUGAAAUGCGUAGAUAUAAGGAAGAACACCAGUGGCGAAGGCGGAUUACUGGACGGUAACUGACGGUGAGGCGCGAAAGCGUGGGGAGCAAACAGGAUUAGAUACCCUGGUAGUCCACGCUGUAAACGAUGGAUACUAGGUGUGCGGGGACUGACCCCCUGCGUGCCGCAGUUAACACAAUAAGUAUCCCACCUGGGGAGUACGAUCGCAAGGUUGAAACUCAAAGGAAUUGACGGGGGCCCGCACAAGCGGUGGAUUAUGUGGUUUAAUUCGAAGCAACGCGAAGAACCUUACCAGGUCUUGACAUCCUGCUAACGAAGUAGAGAUACAUUAGGUGCCCUUCGGGGAAAGCAGAGACAGGUGGUGCAUGGUUGUCGUCAGCUCGUGUCGUGAGAUGUUGGGUUAAGUCCCGCAACGAGCGCAACCCCUAUUGUUAGUUGCUACGCAAGAGCACUCUAGCGAGACUGCCGUUGACAAAACGGAGGAAGGUGGGGACGACGUCAAAUCAUCAUGCCCCUUAUGACCUGGGCUACACACGUAAUACAAUGGCGGUCAACAAAGGGAUGCAAAGCCGCGAGGCAGAGCGAACCCCAAAAAGCCGUCCCAGUUCGGAUCGCAGGCUGCAACCCGCCUGCGUGAAGUCGGAAUCGCUAGUAAUUGUGGGUCAGCAUACCACGGUGAAUACGUUCCCGGGCCUUGUACACACCGCCCGUCACACCAUGAGAGUCGGGAACACCCGAAGUCCGUAGCCUAACCGCAAGGAGGGCGCGGCCGAAGGUGGGUUCGAUAAUUGGGGUGAAGUCGUAACAAGGUA
This 1471-nucleotide ribosomal RNA is filed under the name metagenome. Its description in RNAcentral is "bacterial SSU rRNA". It matches the Rfam family "Bacterial small subunit ribosomal RNA". The record is from RNAcentral.